Molecule: ribosomal RNA, 558 nt
Filed under: uncultured archaeon
Lineage: Archaea
Description: bacterial SSU rRNA
Rfam family: Archaeal small subunit ribosomal RNA
Source: RNAcentral
CCCUACGGGGUGCAGCAGGCGCGAACACUUUACAAUGCGGGAAACCGCGAUAAGGGAACCCCGAGUGCCAGCAUCAAAUGUUGGCUGUCCGGAUGAUUAAAAAUCAUUUGUUAGCAAGGGCCGGGCAAGACCGGUGCCAGCCGCCGCGGUAACACCGGCGGCCCGAGUGGUAGCCGUUUUUAUUGGGUCUAAAGGGUCCGUAGCCGGCCUGAUAAGUCCUUUGGGAAAUCUGGCAGCUUAACUGUCAGGCUUCUAAGGGAUACUGUCAGGCUUGGGACCGGAAGAGGUAAGGGGUACUCCAGGGGUAGGAGUGAAAUCUUGUAAUCCCUGGGGGACCAUCUGUGGCGAAGGCGCCUUACCAGAACGGGUCCGACGGUGAGGGACGAAAGCUAGGGGAGCAAACCGGAUUAGAUACCCGGGUAGUCCUAGCUGUAAACGAUGCUCGCUAGGUGUCAGACACGGUGCGACCGUGUUUGGUGCCGCAGGGGAGCCGUUAAGCGAGCCACCUGGGAAGUACGGUCGCAAGGCUGAAACUUAAAGGAAUUGGCGGGGGAGCAC